UACGGAGGAUGCGAGCGUUAUCCGGAUUUAUUGGGUUUAAAGGGUGCGUAGGUGGCUUUUUAAGUCAGCGGUGAAAACUGGCGGCUCAACCGCAAGAGUGCCGUUGAAACUGGGGAGCUAGAGUAUGAACGAGGUAGGCGGAAUGUGUGGUGUAGCGGUGAAAUGCAUAGAUAUCACGCAGAACUCCGAUAGCGAAGGCAGCUUACCAGGCCAUAACAGACACUGAAGCACGAAAGCGUGGGGAUCGAACAGGAUUAGAUACCCUGGUAGUCCACGCAGUAAACGAUGAUUACUAGGAGUUUGCGAUAAACAGUAAGCUCUCGAGCGAAAGCGUUAAGUAAUCCACCUGGGGAGUACGCCGGCAACGGUGAAACUCAAAGGAAUUGACGGGGGCCCGCACAAGCGGAGGAACAUGUGGUUUAAUUCGAUGAUACGCGAGGAACCUUACCCGGGUUUGAACGCAGUGGGAAUGGUCCUGAAAGGGGUCAGCUAGCAAUAGUCCGCU
This 505-nucleotide ribosomal RNA is filed under the name uncultured bacterium. RNAcentral's name for it is "bacterial SSU rRNA". It matches the Rfam family "Bacterial small subunit ribosomal RNA", at positions 524 to 1031 of the family's 1533-position model. The record is from RNAcentral.